Molecule: ribosomal RNA, 481 nt
Filed under: uncultured bacterium
Lineage: Bacteria
Description: partial 16S ribosomal RNA
Rfam family: Bacterial small subunit ribosomal RNA
Source: RNAcentral
GAUGGACGCUGGCGGCGUGCUUAACACAUGCAAGUCGAACGAAGCACUUUAUUUGAUUUCCUUCGGGACUGAUUAUUUUGUGACUGAGUGGCGGACGGGUGAGUAACGCGUGGGUAACCUGCCUUGUACAGGGGGAUAACAGUUGGAAACGGCUGCUAAUACCGCAUAAGCGCACAGCAUCGCAUGAUGCAGUGUGAAAAACUCCGGUGGUAUAAGAUGGACCCGCGUUGGAUUAGCUAGUUGGUGAGGUAACGGCCCACCAAGGCGACGAUCCAUAGCCGACCUGAGAGGGUGACCGGCCACAUUGGGACUGAGACACGGCCCAAACUCCUACGGGAGGCAGCAGUGGGGAAUAUUGCACAAUGGGCGAAAGCCUGAUGCAGCGACGCCGCGUGAGCGAAGAAGUAUUUCGGUAUGUAAAGCUCUAUCAGCAGGGAAGAUAAUGACGGUACCUGACUAAGAAGCACCGGCUAAAUACGUG